GUGAUGACCAUUCUACAUCGUUUCCACCUACGGCCGUGGUGGUUGCUCUUCUACGACUCCUCUCUCGAGCUUCGCACAUGGUGAUUGUUACUCUACACGGACUCCUCCCGCGACAGUCACCAACUGUGUUGGUGCAUAUGACCCCAUCAACAUGCGACUUCCUGCGCUUGGAGCUUGUCUGCAUGCGCCUUCGUCUCCUUCACCGACCUCUAAUGGAUGAUGUUGGUUAUGGAACGCUGCCUCCUCUCUCCCGGUGCCACUAUGACGCCUACUUCAGUUGUGUCCUUCACUGAGGAGGAGAUUGCGCGACUUCGCGCCCUACUGUCGGGUGCAUCUACAUCGACAUCUUC
This 350-nucleotide long non-coding RNA is filed under the name Hordeum vulgare. RNAcentral's name for it is "long non-coding RNA (HVUL_LNC010411)". The record is from RNAcentral. Lineage: Eukaryota; Viridiplantae; Streptophyta; Magnoliopsida; Poales; Poaceae.